AUUGAACGCUGGCGGCAUGCCUUACACAUGCAAGUCGAACGGUAACAGGUCUUCGGAUGCUGACGAGUGGCGAACGGGUGAGUAAUACAUCAGAACGUGCCUAGUAGUGGGGGAUAACUACUCGAAAGAGUGGCUAAUACCGCAUGAGAUCUACGGAUGAAAGCAGGGGAUCGCAAGACCUUGUGCUACUAGAGCGGCCGAUGGAAGAUUAGGUAGUUGGUGGGAUAAAAGCUUGCCAAGCCGACGAUCUGUAGCUGGUCUGAGAGGACGAUCAGCCACACUGGGACUGAGACACGGCCCAGACUCCUACGGGAGGCAGCAGUGGGGAAUUUUGGACAAUGGGCGAAAGCCUGAUCCAGCAAUGCCGCGUGCAGGAUGAAGGCCUUCGGGUUGUAAACUGCUUUUGUACGGAACGAAAAGCCCUGGGUUAAUACCCUGGGGUCAUGACGGUACCGUAAGAAUAAGCACCGGCUAACUACGUGCCAGCCGCCGCCGUAA
Molecule: ribosomal RNA, 498 nt
Filed under: uncultured bacterium
Lineage: Bacteria
Description: partial 16S ribosomal RNA
Rfam family: Bacterial small subunit ribosomal RNA
Source: RNAcentral